Molecule: long non-coding RNA, 1052 nt
Organism: Helianthus annuus (common sunflower)
Lineage: Eukaryota; Viridiplantae; Streptophyta; Magnoliopsida; Asterales; Asteraceae
Exons: 4
Source: RefSeq, a predicted model, not a curated record
GUUCAUCAAACAGUGGAAUAAAGUUGUAAACUGGUAUUCCCGGAUUCUAUUCUACUAAAUCUUCAUCCCCAAUUUGAAUUUGAAUCUUCAAGUAAAAGGAUAUGUGUAUACUACCUGCAACCAGAAUGCCGAUAUUGGUACAUCAUGAGCCACCAAUUCUUCCCAAACAUGGCGAACUUUAUCUGUUCCACCUUGCAUUCCCACAAUGGCACCCGAUAUUAUCCAAUCAGGAAGUACAGGUGGUCUCCCGAUUGACUCGGUGAAUUGUUCAAUCAACUCAGGAGGUUUGCCCUCAUGGAAUGACAUUGCUGGCUGGGUUGAUUGGUGGGAAUUUACUAUUUUGCCCUCUUUGAUGCUUGUGGAGAAGUGGAGAGAGUAUGAAAGGUUUGACUUGUAGUGUAAAAUGGGAAGAAAAAGCACGGAACUUGAUUGGGCUAUUUGAGCUUUUACUCCUAAUUUGGUAUUAUAGAUUUUCGCACUGUCAUGGGGCGUUCCUCGGCUUCCAAAUGCACCAACACCCAAUCAUAAUCAACCCUUGGACGAUGACCCUCUUGCUGUCUGAAAUACCAACUUCAUUAUGGAACUCGAGAAGAUCCCGGAAUGAAAAGGCGAAAAAACUAGGAAUUUUACACCAAAUUGAUAACUGUUGCCAAAUUGAUAUAGCUACCCAACAACUUGUGAAAAGGUGUUCAACGGAUUCAUCACAGAAAUCACAAAGAGGACACAACACAUUUUCGAUAGUGAUGUUCCUAUAUCGGAGGACAGAUCUUGUCGGAAUCCUUUCCUGCUUGCAACGCCAAGCGAAAAUGGGUGAGUUGAUAACCGAACUAUAACCUAGUUAACUGAUGUAAUUAUUGACUGAUGAUUCGGUUAAACCAUAACUGAGUUAAUCGAACCAAACAAUACAAUGUGGUUCGGUAUGUUUCGGUCAUUGGAAUUCAUCAGAUAUUUUUUGUUACAAAAAUUAGGGUUAAAACCAUGGUUGCAAAAGUCGCUAGGCGCUCCUUAGUCGGUCGACCGGGGAGUUGAGAGUACUCGGUCUAGGCGGAGAG